GGAACGUUUCACGGUAGGGAAGGUGGAGGUUGGUGGAGACGAAACGAAGAUGGAAACUCCUCCGGAAUUGGACAUCCCAUGAAUCAGGAUGUGGAUUCAGGAGAUAAUGGGGGCGUCAAAUCAGGAGAUGAUGGAGGCGUGAAAUUAGGGGAUAAUGGGGAGGAUAACAAGGAUGGAGACGUGGGUCAAGGAGACUUAAACUCUAAUGAUCUAAUUCCUGGUGAAAUUGGACAGGAGGGAAUUACAAUUAAUGAUACAAAAAGAAGAAGGAUGAGCUUGGGCAAGCAAUCAAAUGUGGACCUCAAUACUUCUUCAGAUCCAAAAAAUGGACCAGCGGUGGGCCUCCAGGAGAGGACCCG
RNAcentral lists this unclassified non-coding RNA (359 nucleotides) under Hevea brasiliensis (rubber tree). Lineage: Eukaryota; Viridiplantae; Streptophyta; Magnoliopsida; Malpighiales; Euphorbiaceae. The record is from RNAcentral.